This 692-nucleotide long non-coding RNA is filed under the name Androctonus crassicauda. The record is from RNAcentral. Lineage: Eukaryota; Metazoa; Arthropoda; Arachnida; Scorpiones; Buthidae.
GCUGUCACUUCUGCUGUCUCUUGAGAAGAAGAUCCUAUCCCUUCGUCUGCAGCCCUGUGCACAGCACAUGGCGUUCAGCUCACACUGUAUCCCGAUGUUCCCAACCCAUUGUUUCCCGUGUAAACCGUGCCCGCUUCCCACCGGGGAAGUGACUGUGUCAGACACUAAGUGGUGUGUGUCUCCUGGACCUGUGGCCUCGCUGUGCUUACGUUCACUGUCCCCUCACAAAGCCGUCUUUCUAGAUCAUGUCUGAGUCAGUUUGCUGAGAUGCUGACCCUACACAUGGGAGCUUUUGAAGAUGUCAGCCUCCCCUGCCUGUCACCGCUUGCCUGUGGAAGAUGACAUUUAUUUAUGUGAAUAAGUCACAUGGUUAGCCAAGUCUCUCAGGAGUGUAGUGAUUUCCGUCCCAUUCUGGAAUUAUGUCAGUUACCUAUUGGAAAACAUUUGUUUCAUGGGUGCUGGGAAAGGUGGAGGUUUGGGGGUGCCUAGGCAGGCAGGUAUUUAUCUCGCCCAGAGGUGAGUCCCGAUAACCAAGCUGUCUGGGGCUAAUGUGGAUUCGUUUGUUCUAGUCUGCUGCUCAGCCUGCCUCCCACUGGUGUCACGAAAGUUCCAUCCAGGGCUUCACCUGGAGCCGACAGGCCGUCAGGAGGCCGCUGUACUCUGUGGCCACUGUGAAUCUCUGCUGCUGCCCG